CCUACGGGUGGCAGCAGUGGGGAAUAUUGGACAAUGGGCGAAAGCCUGAUCCAGCCAUGCCGCGUGUGUGAAGAAGGCCUUCGGGUUGUAAAGCACUUUCAGUGGGGAAGAAAGCCUUGGGGCUAAUACCCUCGAGGAAGGACAUCACCCACAGAAGAAGCACCGGCUAACUCCGUGCCAGCAGCCGCGGUAAUACGGAGGGUGCGAGCGUUAAUCGGAAUUACUGGGCGUAAAGCGCGCGUAGGCGGUCUGAUAAGCCGGUUGUGAAAGCCCCGGGCUCAACCUGGGAACGGCAUCCGGAACUGUCAGGCUAGAGUGCAUGAGAGGAAGGUAGAAUUCCCGGUGUAGCGGUGAAAUGCGUAGAGAUCGGGAGGAAUACCAGUGGCGAAGGCGGCCUUCUGGACUGACACUGACGCUGAGGUGCGAAAGCGUGGGUAGCAAACAGGAUUAGAUACCCGGGUAGUC
RNAcentral lists this ribosomal RNA (465 nucleotides) under Vreelandella stevensii. Its description in RNAcentral is "partial 16S ribosomal RNA". It matches the Rfam family "Bacterial small subunit ribosomal RNA", at positions 338 to 795 of the family's 1533-position model. Lineage: Bacteria; Pseudomonadati; Pseudomonadota; Gammaproteobacteria; Oceanospirillales; Halomonadaceae. The record is from RNAcentral.